RNAcentral lists this ribosomal RNA (484 nucleotides) under uncultured bacterium. RNAcentral's name for it is "partial 16S ribosomal RNA". It matches the Rfam family "Bacterial small subunit ribosomal RNA", at positions 28 to 523 of the family's 1533-position model. The record is from RNAcentral.
GACGAACGCUGGCGGCGUGCUUAACACAUGCAAGUCGAACGAUGAAGCUGGAGCUUGCUCCGGUGGAUUAGUGGCGAACGGGUGAGUAACACGUGAGCAAUCUGCCCUUGACUCUGGGAUAACUGCGGGAAACCGUAGCUAAUACCGGAUACUUUCACUGGAAGGCAUCUUCUGGUGAAGAAAGAAUUUCGGUCAAGGAUGAGCUCGCGGCCUAUCAGCUUGUUGGUGAGGUAACGGCUCACCAAGGCGACGACGGGUAGCCGGCCUGAGAGGGUGACCGGCCACACUGGGACUGAGACACGGCCCAGACUCCUACGGGAGGCAGCAGUGGGGAAUAUUGCACAAUGGGCGGAAGCCUGAUGCAGCAACGCCGCGUGAGGGAUGACGGCCUUCGGGUUGUAAACCUCUUUUAGCAGGGAUGAAGCGAAAGUGACGGUACCUGCAGAAAAAGCACCGGCUAACUACGGGCCAGCCGCCGCAGUAA